CCUACGGGCGGCAGCAGUGAGGAAUAUUGGUCAAUGGACGAGAGUCUGAACCAACCAAGUAGCGUGAAGGAUGACUGCCCUAUGGGUUGUAAACUUCUUUUAUAUGGGAAUAAAAUGUUCCACGUGUGGGAUUUUGUAUGUACCAUAUGAAUAAGGAUCGGCUAACUCCGUGCCAGCAGCCGCGGUAAUACGGAGGAUCCGAGCGUUAUCCGGAUUUAUUGGGUUUAAAGGGAGCGUAGGUGGAUUGUUAAGUCAGUUGUGAAAGUUUGCGGCUCAACCGUAAAAUUGCAGUUGAAACUGGCAGUCUUGAGUACAGUAGAGGUGGGCGGAAUUCGUGGUGUAGCGGUGAAAUGCUUAGAUAUCACGAAGAACUCCGAUUGCGAAGGCAGUUCACUGGACUGCAACUGACACUGAGGCUCGAAAGUGUGGGUAUCAAACAGGAUUAGAUACCCCUGUAGUC
Molecule: ribosomal RNA, 460 nt
Filed under: uncultured bacterium
Lineage: Bacteria
Description: partial 16S ribosomal RNA
Rfam family: Bacterial small subunit ribosomal RNA
Source: RNAcentral